Molecule: long non-coding RNA, 1433 nt
Organism: Bombus pascuorum
Lineage: Eukaryota; Metazoa; Arthropoda; Insecta; Hymenoptera; Apidae
Exons: 3
Source: RefSeq, a predicted model, not a curated record
UUCUUCCCAUCUCUUCAUACCCAAUAUUAUUUAAAAUUAUUUAGACAUGGCUUUUAGAAUAUAAGAUGAAAAGAUAUCGCUUUUAGAAUACAAGACGAAAAAUCUAUUUCACCAGAAACUUUUAUACGCUGAUAUGUCUUUUGCAAACUUGCUAACGAACCGCUUUUAUGCAUUUAAUCCUUCCCCAGUUAAGAUCUAGCAUUAAACCGCUUUUCCUUAAACAGGCAUUGUUCGUUUGGAGGGUAAGAAAUUCCAACUGAAAGCGCCAACUAACAGACGGACGACUUAUCGACGAGAGGUAUAACGGUGGCAGCGAUAUUCGUUAGCCAAGCUCGAGGCACGACGGUGUCGGCAAACAUCAUUAUCUCGGAAAUCUGUCAACGGGCUGAAGCCGUAGACGAAACGUGGCAUCCCAUGGGAUAGGACAGCGGGGCUUGUUAAGGAAUCCGUGUCCGGAACUUGGGAAAGGCCAGAGGCCGCAGAAGUGGGCGAGUGGGUAAUCCCGAAGGGUUAAGGUUUACGUCGACCGACCGUGCUGAGAUCGAGACGACAAAUUGGGGAUGCCUGUGCGGGGCAGUGCUUCGCCCGUGCGCUUCAGGGGUGGCCUCUCCGUUCUACAGGGUCAACAAAAUAACUAAAUUCUUAGAUUAUUCCUUUUUUUAUUUAACAUUUCUAUUUUUUUCUUUUCAGGGUGUCUAUUUAUAACCAUUGUAUAAAGCAUUUAAAGAUAAAAUAAUACAAAUAACACAAGUGUUUAAUCUGAGAAUACUGUUGAUAAAGUGUACCAGCAGUUCCCGAGAAAAAGCUAACCACCGUUGUUCUCUGUAUCGGUGAGGGGUUUGUCCCUUGAACCCUGCACGCGGAACACGAAGAAAAGGAUACUGUUACGUAUACUCCGGUCUGUUCUCCUCAGUCCUGAAAAGGGUAGAAAAUAAUCGUCGUUUGUCGGCGGAACGGAAUUUCAUUAAGUUCCACGGCAGCCGUUUAGAUUGAUUUACGAUCGAUGCACGAUAAAGUAAAAAGAAGAAAAUUGAUCAAGAACUCGCGAGCGACUCUGGUUUCGUGUUUCCACGAAAUUGAAAACGCCGCCUUAAGCUCGCCGCCCGCGAUGUAAUUCAACCGUCUGCGCGCGUUGCCUCGCUUAAUUAACGGACGUUGUUGCGUAAGAACCAAGCGAGGAAUUCGUUAAAGUGAAUCGAAAUUAAUUAAGUUGCCAAGGUUUUUAGAAGGGUGGAAAUACUCCCGAAUAAAUGUUUCUUCAAGUUAUGAAAUUAAACCCUAGAAUAAUAUUCUGAUAUAUUAUUAAGAUGCAAUUGUUUUUUGCAAGAUAUAAUAGUAUGUUUUUAUACAUACAUUAAAUGCAAUGUAAUAAAUGUAUUUUCAUAUAGUUUUAAGUACCUUGUAAUUUUUGUAAGAAAGAAUGAUUGUAUUGU